This 405-nucleotide ribosomal RNA is filed under the name uncultured bacterium. RNAcentral's name for it is "partial 16S ribosomal RNA". It matches the Rfam family "Bacterial small subunit ribosomal RNA", at positions 30 to 526 of the family's 1533-position model. The record is from RNAcentral.
AUUGAACGCUAGCGGGAUGCUUUACACAUGCAAGUCGAACGAGUGGCGGACGGGUGAGUAAUAUAUCGGAACGUGCCCAGUAGAGGGGGAUAACUACUCGAAAGAGUGGCUAAUACCGCAUAAUAUAGGAGCGGCCGUUAUCGGCUUAGCUAGGUGGUGGGGGAAAGGCUCACCAAGCCAACGAUCCGUAGAGGGUUUGAGAGGACGACCAGCCCCACUGGGACUGAGACACGGCCCAGACUCCUACGGGAGGCAGCAGUGGGGAAUUUUGGCCAAUGGGGGAAACCCUGAUCCAGCCAUCCCGCGUGUAUGAGAAGGCCUUCGGGUUGUAAAGUCCUUUUGGCAGAGAAGCGGUAUCUGCAGAAUAAGCACCGGCUAACUACGUGCCAGCAGCCGCGGUAAUUC